UACGUAGGUGGCAAGCGUUGUCCGGAUUUAUUGGGUUUAAAGGGUGCGUAGGCGGUCUUAUAAGUCAGUGGUGAAAUACAGCAGCUCAACUGUCGAGGUGCCAUUGAUACUGUAGGACUUGAGUACAGACGAGGUAGGCGGAAUUGACGGUGUAGCGGUGAAAUGCUUAGAUAUCGUCAAGAACACCGAUAGCGAAGGCAGCUUACUAGGCUGUAACUGACGCUGAGGCACGAAAGUGUGGGGAUCAAACAGG
RNAcentral lists this ribosomal RNA (253 nucleotides) under uncultured bacterium. RNAcentral's name for it is "partial 16S ribosomal RNA". It matches the Rfam family "Bacterial small subunit ribosomal RNA", at positions 524 to 776 of the family's 1533-position model. The record is from RNAcentral.